This 101-nucleotide ribosomal RNA is filed under the name Shigella sonnei. Lineage: Bacteria; Pseudomonadati; Pseudomonadota; Gammaproteobacteria; Enterobacterales; Enterobacteriaceae. The record is from RNAcentral.
CGGUGGUCCCACCUGACCCCAUGCCGAACUCAGAAGUGAAACGCCGUAGCGCCGAUGGUAGUGUAGGGUCUCCCCAUGCGAGAGUAGGGAACUGCCAGACA